ACGGCCUCUGCUGUGUAUCGCUCUGCGCCGCGAACAAGAGCCCUCCCCGCCGCGCAGAGCCCGGGCUGUUGAGUUCUGCAGAAGAUGACAAGUCGUGGCCUAUGGAGCAGCAGAACCGGAGGUGGUGUUUUCUCAUCCCGGGCAGGGGAGGUCAUGAGUCCGGUGUCAGAUCUCCCUGUCAGAUGGACGCUGCCCUUUUCAAAACAAAGAGAACGCGAAAAUAAACUUUCCCAGAACUGAUGAUGUGUCUCAGGACCCAACAGAUUUUUAAAUCACAGUUUGCAUUGAUCGGCUGCUCAUCGGUUAUGUCCUUCUAGAAAGAUCCUCCUUGCCGGAGCGAGCUGCUACCAGAAGAAGGUGAGGGAGGAGACUGCGAGGCGGCCGCGGAGGAGCGGGAGGAACCAGCAAACGCUUUGAACUGGUGUUCGGCGGCUGGAGCGGCGCGGGAAGGGCUGGGAGCCCCCGGCCCCCAGCCUGCUCAGCAGGGGGAAGGGCUGUCGCUUGUCCUCCACAACCUCGGCCACGGGAUGGGGCAGGCGAUGGAGGAGAUCCAGCCUGAAGCCCCCCAGCGUCCAGGACUCCUCUGCGAGAAGGAGAUGGCUUCUUCCGAUCCCAUCGGGAGGAACAAGCUCUUCAUCUCUAAACGCUUCCAGAAACGAGAGCAGAAGCAGGCAUUUCCAGGGAGGCAGGGUGCCAAAUACCAGAGGCACAACACUCCAUCUGUUGCUGUGGGUGGUCCAGUCGCCUCCUCUUCAUCUCUACAACAAGUUUGAUGGUGCAGCCGAGAGCUCUCAACUGAUUUCUUUGGCAGCUGCCUCUCCUUCCCCCCUUUGCAGAUUGGCUUUCUUUUUUCCAGGCUGCGUAAAGUGGAACAGCAGCGCAACGAGUCCUACCAGUUACUGGGAAAAUCUGCUCUAUCUGCCUCAUCAUUUUCCCCUUUCCUUUCUUAAUUAGGAAAGCACAAAGAGAUGAAAUGAUCUCCUUUCUGCUGCUAGGAGUAACGAACACAUGAUUAUAGUAGUACAUUAACUGUCCUACUUGGGGUUUGGGGUUUUUGGUUUUUUUUUCAUUUUACAGUAUUGCUCUGGCAUCCAAAUCUGCUCUCUAUCCAUCUGCUUUCUUCUUCGGAGACACAGGCAAAAGCCAUGACGAAGCAAACUUCUCUCUGCGCAGUUUACAACCACCAGAGCUGCCUUCCUCAAACUCCUGGCUCCGAUAGAAGCUGAUGUAAUUAAUCAAGGGCUCAUUCAUGCCUUUUACCUGAAUGCCUGCUUCCUAGGCAGACAGCCUGCAUUGGGACCUGUUGAUAUUGCCCAAAGUGAAAACUUUGGGGUUUUUUCUAGGUUUUUAACACCUGACAGCACCUCAGAUGCACGUUGCGAUGAACCAGGUGCUGUGUAAAACUCUUUGGGGCUGGGCUAAGCAGCUGCAUCACGACGGCUUGGUGGUGGUGACGACUCCCCAGAAGCCAAGGAUCUGUAGGCAACGCCUGCGGGACACUUAUUUCACGGGGUGGGGGUUUUUUUACCGAUAUUUAAAUUAUUUUUGCUAACUUUUGCGUAUCCACCAGAUUCUUAUAAAUCGUCCCAGUGGGAGAGAGGAGGCAAAGGGAGGAAAGAUCUCAGUGCUGUUCCACCUCCUGCUGCCGUGACCUCGGAGCGGGCAGGGCUGCCAACCUCUUGUCCUUCCUCCAAGUCUCCCGUGAGCUGCCCGUCGGUGCGGGAAGGUCUAGAGAAGAAAACCUGCAGAGAAGUGAAUCCCAGCGACCUUGAUCAUAUCAUCAAGUUCCCUCUGUAGGCGAUCUCUUUGUCUUCCCCUUGGCCAGAGGGAGAGCGCGGUAGUGCAGCAUUAGAAUAAAACGCCCCGAUGGAAUUCCGGCUGAAAUCUUCAGAUGCAGAGGCCACCAUCUCAUUAGAAAACUAAUGCUGCUGUUUAUCGUCUUGAUAGAGAAGAAAACAGUCCCUCGGGAUUUCUGAGAUGCAAAGAUGACCCACUGCUGCCAGCAGAAAGGUGGAAGUUCCCCUCAUGAUAACCGCAGUGGGGGCUUUGUUCAACUACUAGAAAAAUCCUUAGAAGAAAAAAAAAAAAAUGGUCAACAGGCUCCAUAAUAAGUUUCCUGGAACGAUCCUUCCGGAAAGACAAUCUGCACAAUUAGUGCUAUUUCAUAUUAAUCAUGCAAAAUCAGGCAACUUCAAGGCAAGUGGAAAACACAGGAAACAGGGAUAAAAUUUCUGUGUUUUCACAUAAUAAAAUAACUGAAUGCCACCAGGCAGGAGGGCUUCGGGUGGCUUCUGCACGUAGAUGACCAGAUGAGCUCGUUAACUUUAUUCCUCUGUUUCACGGGGAAUUUUACAGCCUUUCACGGGGAAUUUUACGACCUUUCACUGCCAGAAGUAAGGCCAGGAGGGGCGGUGGUUGUGCUUCACUGUCACGUGCAGUGACGGGACCUGGGACAUCUACAGACCUGGAUGAAGCGGCCUCAGCUGUGUGAGGGAUGCGGAGGAGCCUCCUAAGUCACAGGUCCCAGACUUGUUGGCCAAAAUUUGCGUUGUUUUUUUUUUUUUUUUCCCCAGGAAUUGCACAGUGUACACGCACGGGAACGCCCAGUGCCUUGCUGCUGCUUUGGGCACGGUGCUGGUCGGGUGGCAGCGGAACGCAGAGGGAGAAGGUGCUGAUGGGCACUGGGGAGCGUGCAGAAGGCGGGGGCCGGUGCUCUGACAGCACCCCCGGGCAAGGCCGGGGUGUUGGAGAGGGUAAAGCACCACUCCUGAGUGGAAGAGACGCCCCAGGUCAAACAGAAGCAACCGUGGCACGGACAGCGGUGGCUCCCGCAGCUCGGCACAGGUGCAGAACCUCACACCCGCUCUCUCCGGCGGUUCCACGCGUUGGUGCCCUCGUGCCCGUGCCGGAGCGAGGGGCAGGCGAGCUCCCAGACGCCGAGAUCUCAGAGACCCUCAGGCCCCCGGUGGGCCCGGGGUGCACAUCUGGUGCCUGUGUGGGAUGAGGGGCCGCCUCAAGGCGUUUCUGUCGGCAGUUAAAGCACAGGGAUGGCUCGGGGGGGGGCGGAGGAGCUGCAGCUUGGGGCCGUCAGCUCCGCAACCUGAGAAACGGCGACAACGCAGAAAACUUCACCCCGCGCCUUCAAAGCCUCCAAAUAAAACCCCAACGGUGUGGCACAAAAAGGCACUGGAGGAGAAAAGGGCUGGGCAAGGACGGGGCUCUGCCGGAGGGACCGGCACGUGGAGCCAGCCUAGAUGGAGGAGAUGGUCACCUUCCAGCAUCAGCACUCAGCGCCAUCCCCGCUGCCCUCGCCACCCCCUUCAGGGGCAGGAGCCAGCCCGAGGGCCCCACGCUGGGCCCAGCUGCUCUGGCCGAGCCGUGGCAGACAUGCCCGUUGCCGAUGGGGCGAGCGGGUCUCUCACGCAGGACCUGGCACGGGAGAGCGUGCGGCUGGAACCGGGCAGCGUCACCGGGGGCGACGGCACCCUGCUGUGCCCCCGGAGGACGAGGGUGAGAAUUCAGUCAUCCUUUAUUCCCCUCAAACCUCAGGCCCAUCCAUCGAUCGCAGCAGAGGAGCCGGCAGCGAUAACGACUCCGCAAGAACAAAGAGCACGGCCGAGCCGCAGAAGCAUCACCUGCCCUUGAGCUGCCGCACGCUGCCCGGCCGCGGGGAAGAGCGGUGUGGGGGCUAAUGAGCCAGAGAGGCAAUCAGGCAGAACCGGGCUGUGCCAGAGCAAACCCCCAUCUCACAGCAGAGCUGCCUGGGGGGCCCUGGGGUCCCGGGGUGGGGGGGGCGGCGUGGCGCGGGCAGGGCGUGUGCGACUCCCACUGUUCCGUGUGUCUGCUCCGCUCCAGGUACCAGGAGGAACCUCCGCAACGACCUGCUGGUCGCCGCCGAUUCCAUCACCAACACCAUGUCAUCGCUGGUGAAGGAGCUUCACUCAGCAGAGGAAGAAGAUGACGAAGAAACGGAAAAGAUGCGGAAUGGAAAAGACCAAGGUUAGACGACCUCAGGCUGCACAGCAGUUCAGGUAAGGGUGGAUGUAUUUUUUUUCCUUCCCAGCUCCAGCAGCUCUGCUCUGGACGUGCCGUUGCAAUCCACAGCACCGAGUCCCCGCUCACCUCCUGCCCCAGUCCCGUGUCCCCUAUUCCUGCACAGGGAGGGUUCCCCGCCUGCCCAUCGCGCCACGACCCUUCAAAAGCACGUUAGGUUUUUGCUUUUUUUUUUCCUUGUUAAGCCCCAAUUCUGCUCCUGCUGCAGACAGUGGGAAAAUGUCAUUAACUUCAGUGAGAAGAGCGUUAUCUCCUGGUUUAUGAGUAUUUCCUCUAUACUGAGAGGCCUCAGCCAGGAAAUAGGACCCUAUUGUGACGGACACUACCCAGAUGUACUAAAAAUACAAUCUCUACACUCAAAGAGCCUGCGCUUUAAGUUAUAAUAAGGCACAACAGAUGGGUAGACAAACAGGUGGUUGGAGGGCACGAGAUAGCGGUCAGGGAGAGAGCCGGAGCCCCGCCGCAACAAAGCCUCCGACGGGCCGGAGAGGGAUCCUUAUCUCCCCCAUCUAAAAAGCUGGUAGGAGGGCACCGAUCGGGUUUCCACACUCCCCGUACGCUCUCCGGAUAUUUGCCGAGGGCACAAUGCCCAUCUCUCACCAUUCCCAGUGGGAAGAAGGAGGGUUCUCCGGGCAGAAAAGCCUGGUGUUGACGCGCUCGCAAUUAGCCGGGAAGGGCUGGGGCCGGGCGCGGUGGGCAAACCUUCCUUCUGGAACCUCUGCCUUGAGGCGUUGGCUUGGUCGGUUGGAGAAAGCAAACAGGAGAAGGCCUUUCCUCUGUAACUAAGUCCAGACCCGGCCCACGGGGGGAGGUGGGCCAGUUGAGCGAGUCGCGAUGGAUCUGAAACGGGAUUUUCCGAGAUAAAGCCCCCCGCAGUUGUCCUCUGGAGGUAGUUUGCAAAGGAGAAUAAAAAAGGGGUUUUGCCCUUUCUUCCCUCCCCGCCGUUUUAGUGGUGGAUGGAGAUAACCUGAAAGUGGCUUGAGAGUUUUUUCUAAUAGUUUUUACAUUAGAAAUUCAAGUCCUGCCUCAUCUGGGAAACAAUCUGGUAACUCAAGAAGGAGUGAAAUUAUACCAUUAGAGAGGAAGCCAGCAAUGGAGAGCUGUUUAUACUGCUGUGCGUGGCUUUUUCUUAAUGUCCCUUUAACUCUAAUGGCUUUGGCGAAGAGGAUGGCUGUGACCCUGGUCGCCCCUUAGCCGCGGAUCUGCAGACGAGAAGCUCCCUGUUCCCCGAGCAGCCCGGCAGAGCCCCCAGCAGCACCCGGGGCCGGCGCUGGUGAGCGCUCAGUUAGAGACACUGAAAAAAUGAGAGAGAGAAACUACUUUCAGGUUUCUUUG
This is a long non-coding RNA of Athene cunicularia (burrowing owl), 5388 nucleotides long. RefSeq lists it as uncharacterized. The transcript is spliced from 3 exons. NCBI's taxonomy places the organism in Eukaryota, Metazoa, Chordata, Aves, Strigiformes, Strigidae. The record is from RefSeq and is a predicted model, not a curated record.